GGUGAGGUGUCCGAGUGGCUGAAGGAGCACGCCUGGAAAGUGUGUAUACGACAACGUAUCGAGGGUUCGAAUCCCUCCCUCACCGCCA
RNAcentral lists this transfer RNA (88 nucleotides) under Aeromonas veronii. Its description in RNAcentral is "tRNA-Ser". It matches the Rfam family "tRNA". From Rfam's summary of the family: Transfer RNA (tRNA) molecules are approximately 80 nucleotides in length. Their secondary structure includes four short double-helical elements and three loops (D, anti-codon, and T loops). Further hydrogen bonds mediate the characteristic L-shaped molecular structure. tRNAs have two regions of fundamental functional importance: the anti-codon, which is responsible for specific mRNA codon recognition, and the 3' end, to which the tRNAs corresponding amino acid is attached (by aminoacyl-tRNA synthetases). tRNAs cope with the degeneracy of the genetic code in two manners: having more than one tRNA (with a specific anti-codon) for a particular amino acid; and 'wobble' base-pairing, i.e. permitting non-standard base-pairing at the 3rd anti-codon position. The record is from RNAcentral. Lineage: Bacteria; Pseudomonadati; Pseudomonadota; Gammaproteobacteria; Aeromonadales; Aeromonadaceae.